UACAGAGGGGGCAAGCGUUGUUCGGAAUUACUGGGCGUAAAGGGCGCGUAGGCGGCCGCCUAAGUCAGACGUGAAAUCCCUCGGCUCAACCGGGGAACUGCGUCUGAUACUGGGUGGCUUGAAUCCGGGAGAGGGAUGCGGAAUUCCAGGUGUAGCGGUGAAAUGCGUAGAUAUCUGGAGGAACACCGGUGGCGAAGGCGGCAUCCUGGACCGGCAUUGACGCUGAGGCGCGAAAGCCAGGGGAGCAAACGGGAUUAGAUACCCCGGUAGUCCUGGCCCUAAACGAUGAGUGCUUGGUGUGGCGGGUAUCGAUCCCUGCCGUGCCGAAGCUAACGCAUUAAGCACUCCGCCUGGGGAGUACGGUCGCAAGGCUGAA
This 376-nucleotide ribosomal RNA is filed under the name uncultured bacterium. RNAcentral's name for it is "bacterial SSU rRNA". It matches the Rfam family "Bacterial small subunit ribosomal RNA", at positions 524 to 898 of the family's 1533-position model. The record is from RNAcentral.